Anthonomus grandis grandis is the source of this 2414-nucleotide long non-coding RNA. RefSeq lists it as uncharacterized. The record is from RefSeq and is a predicted model, not a curated record. NCBI's taxonomy places the organism in Eukaryota, Metazoa, Arthropoda, Insecta, Coleoptera, Curculionidae. The transcript has 2 exons.
AUAUCAUGCAUGCUAAUUACUCUGUCUAAACUUGAAUGUGUCGACAUUUCUUUCUAUGGCAUCAAUAGUCGACCGCCCUUUUAUGAAUCCGUAUUGGUUUGGAUUAAAACCAUUUAACUUUUUAAUUUCUUUUUUUAACCUUUCGUUGAUUAUUGUUCAAAGGUAUUUCCAAGUAUAUCUAACAAACAAAUAGGUCUAAAUUUUUUAGCUUCAUCUGCCUGUUUAGCCUACCUGUUUGGAUACUUUCCAUUCGUCUGGGAAGAAUUUCUGGUUUAUACAUUCAGUAUAUAGUUGCGCAAAGAAGGGGAUAUUACUUAAGAGAAGCCAUUUUGCGUGCUCUGGAUUCAUGUUAUCGGGCCCUGAGGCUUUGUUCGCUUUGAUGCGAGUAAUAGCAUAUUUCAUCUCUUCUUCCGAUACGGGGGACGCGUCCUUUCUGUUAGACUUUUCCACAGUCGGUAAACAGUCUGAGUUAUCUGUGAUAAAUAAUUCCUUAAAGAAUAAGAUUUUUUCCCUUGAGUUUAACCUUACUCGUGGCCCGGAGAUUCUCAUUUGGCUCUUCACAAUCUGGUAAGCCUGUCCGAAUAUUAUGUCGUCUUUUAGUGACGUGAGAAGUUCUUUCCAUUUUGUUUUUUUAGCUUUUUGUAUUUGUUUGUUGAGAACGUUUCUUGCUUCUUUAUAUGACUUCUGCAAAGCUUCUCUAUUAUUGUUGUUCCGUGUUUCUCUAAGAAGUUUUCGCCUUUUUGUUUUCACGUCGGUAAUGUGGGUUGCUAUAGAGUCAUCCCAGCAAUAUGGAAGUUUGUAGUUGACAUCUACGCGAAUUUUACUGCAUGACCAGUUAAACGCUUCCUAAAUCAGAAGUAGUUUUGUUUCAAUAUCCUUUCCUUCUGAUUUUUUUAGAAACUCCGCAGUGUUUUUUUUUUUAAACUCUGCUUGCUUUACCUGCCUUAUGUAUCUUGGUUUAUCGAAGUUUGUCUGUUGGAGACUUACUUUUACUAAUAUAAAUUGAUGGUCGCUAAGAGAUUCUUCUUCGUGCAGUACUUGCCAACUACUUUUUCCCCACUUUAAAAUUUCUUCACAACAAACUAGUAAUUUCAGCAUUUGAAAAUUGUUUAUCAGAAGUAAAGGAGGUUUCAUGAGGUCCGGGUUGUGACAAUGGAACACUAUUUUGCUGUCUGACGCGCUCAUACGACAUAAUAGUGCGAACAGUAGCCUGGACUAUGUCAUCCAUCGCAAUUUCAUGCACGUUUUCACCGCCAAUCUCACUAAAGCAUCUAUUACACAGGGCGAGAUUACUAGCCAAUUUUAGCCGCGCCGGCGACUAAAAUUUAAAGCGAGUGAGAGAGUUAGAACAAGCUCAACGAGCGCAAACUACACCGCGCUAGUUUUACUGCGCUUUACUCGCAGGGUAUUGCAUUUUUGGUAGUUGUUUGUUUUGUAUUUUUCGUUCGAAAACUCAAAAUGUAUGUUAAAUGGAAUAGUAAUCAAAUUAUAGAGUUUUUAAAUAUUUAUGAACAAUUUCCAGUAUUAUGGAAUAUUAAACCCAAAGAUUAUCUAAAUAUUAAACUAAAAGACGUAUUAUUUAAGAACAUGUAUGAAGAAUUAGAUGAUAAAAGGCUUCUAAAAGGAAUGGAUGAAAAACAAAAUUAAAAAUUUGAAAGAUGUGUUUCGUCAAGAACUGGCCAAAAUAGAACGAAGCAAAUAAAGCAAUAAAAGUGGCUGUGGAACAGAAGACAUUUACACCCCAAAGUUAACAUGGUUUGAGGCUGCCCAUUUUUUUGCAGAAGUUUUGUCAACAAGGCAUAGUAAUUCAAACUUGACUCUACCCAGCACACAGAGUAUAUCUGAGGAAGUCUCAAACUCUCAAAUUGAACAGCCUGAUGAUGAAGAACCCGAUACAUCGCCCAAGAAACAAAAUGUAAAACUCUCACAGGCGAAGGGACCUCCUAAACCUAAAAAAAGGGUGAAAAAACAAGCAGAUCCAGAAAUUACUGAUGCAGUCGGUCAGUUAAAUAGAAUUGCUGAAAAUGUAUCACAGGUAAAACUGUACGACGAAUUAGGGAAGUAUGUAGCUGCAGAGCUACGUCAGGCUAUUUUAUUGCAGCAAGAAAUCCAGAAUUCUAUUACACGUGUAAAGCUAAUCUGUUUAUAAAACAAUAACCAAAUAAAUACUUACUACGGAGAACCCCUUCAACUGCAAACUUCUCCAUUGUUAUCCUCCCCAAGUGAUCCCAGCCCUGCCUCAACCACAUAUGAAACAUACCCAAAUCCAAAAUAACGAAGAUAACGGAUAUGGUCACGAUGUUCUUCAUCAAGCACUUAUAAAUACAUUUUCGGCACAAUUUUAAUUCUUAAUGAAUAAAUAAUAUUUCUUAUAAAUAAGUAACUUGUUUCAUAAAUAACGUGUGAAAAAUAAA